UACGUAGGGUGCAAGCGUUGUCCGGGUUCACUGGGUGUAAAGGGUGCGCAGGCGGGCUCUUAAGUCAAAGGUGAAAUCUCUCGGCUUAACCGAGAAAUUGCCUUUGAUACUGAGAGCCUUGAGUACGGGAGAGGGAGAUGGAAUUCCAGGUGUAGCGGUGAAAUGCGUAGAUAUCUGGAGGAACACCGGAGGCGAAGGCGGUCUCCAGGCCCGUUACUGACGCUCAGGCACGAAAGCGUGGGGAGCAAACAGG
This 253-nucleotide ribosomal RNA is filed under the name uncultured bacterium. RNAcentral describes it as "partial 16S ribosomal RNA". It matches the Rfam family "Bacterial small subunit ribosomal RNA", at positions 524 to 776 of the family's 1533-position model. The record is from RNAcentral.